UAAAGAUUCAUCGCUGAUAGAUAGGCAUGCGUUCCAUUAGGCAGUUGGCGGGGUAACGGCCCACCAAACCGACGAUGGAUAGGGGUUCUGAGAGGAAGGUCCCCCACAUUGGUACUGAGACACGGACCAAACUCCUACGGGAGGCAGCAGUGAGGAAUAUUGGUCAAUGGGCGUAAGCCUGAACCAGCCAAGUCGCGUGAGGGAUGAAGGUUCUAUGGAUCGUAAACCUCUUUUAUAAGGGAAUAAAGUGUGGGACGUGUCCUAUUUUGUAUGUACCUUAUGAAUAAGGAUCGGCUAACUCCGUGCCAGCAGCCGCGGUAAUACGGAGGAUCCGAGCGUUAUCCGGAUUUAUUGGGUUUAAAGGGUGCGUAGGCGGCCUUUUAAGUCAGCGGUGAAAGUCUGUGGCUCAACCAUAGAAUUGCCGUUGAAACUGGGGGGCUUGAGUAUGUUUGAGGCAGGCGGAAUGCGUGGUGUAGCGGUGAAAUGCUUAGAUAUCACGCAGAACCCCGAUUGCGAAGGCAGCCUGCCAAGCCAUGACUGACGCUGAUGCACGAAAGCGUGGGGAUCAAACAGAAUUAGAUACCCUGGUAGUCCACGCAGUAAACGAUGGUCACUAGCUGUUUGCGAUACAGUGUAA
This 637-nucleotide ribosomal RNA is filed under the name uncultured bacterium. Its description in RNAcentral is "bacterial SSU rRNA". It matches the Rfam family "Bacterial small subunit ribosomal RNA", at positions 202 to 842 of the family's 1533-position model. The record is from RNAcentral.